UACGUAGGGCGCAAGCGUUGUCCGGAAUCAUUGGGCGUAAAGAGCUCGUAGGUGGUCUGUUACGUCUGCUGUGAAAACCUAGGGCUUAACCCUGGGCCUGCAGUGGAUACGGGCAGACUAGAGGUAGGUAGGGGAGAAUGGAAUUCCCGGUGUAGCGGUGAAAUGCGCAGAUAUCAGGAAGAACACCGGUGGCGAAGGCGGCUCUCUGGGCCUUACCUGACGCUGAGGAGCGAAAGCGUGGGUAGCGAACAGG
This 253-nucleotide ribosomal RNA is filed under the name uncultured bacterium. RNAcentral's name for it is "partial 16S ribosomal RNA". It matches the Rfam family "Bacterial small subunit ribosomal RNA", at positions 524 to 776 of the family's 1533-position model. The record is from RNAcentral.